Molecule: non-coding RNA, 114 nt
Organism: Acanthosepion pharaonis
Lineage: Eukaryota; Metazoa; Mollusca; Cephalopoda; Sepiida; Sepiidae
Source: the annotation of a GenBank genome assembly
UUACGACCAUAUCACGUUGAAAUACCGGUUACAGUACGAUCAUGGAAGUUAAGCAAUGUCGAGCUUGGCCAGUACCUAGAUGGGUGACAGCUUGGGAACACCAACUGCUGUAAG